Molecule: long non-coding RNA, 1419 nt
Organism: Myotis lucifugus (little brown bat)
Lineage: Eukaryota; Metazoa; Chordata; Mammalia; Chiroptera; Vespertilionidae
Exons: 2
Source: RefSeq, a predicted model, not a curated record
UCUCAAAUCCAUCUUUAGACAGUACAGGGUUCAGGCUUUUAUAUCAAGAGAAGGGAAAAUGGGGGGAGCUGUUUUUAUGAAACCUCAAGCCCCUAGCCGAAUUCCUUUAAUGAUCUGCAUGUCUAAAGCAGGAGCUUAGCCUGAAGGCUGAGGGAACUUGUUCCAUCCUUGAACCAGAUGGAAUCCGAGAGUCUGAGAGACCCAGCACUUCAGUCUGUUACACAUCGAGCUCUCUAAGGGCAGGGUCUGUCCCAAAGCACCGUGCACAGCACCCGGCACUCAUUAAUCUCUGUUGAGUGAACAGGGAAAAUGUGAACAGCACAACUAGUGUAACAGCAUGAGCAUCUGAGAGUGGGAUGUUUGCUUUCCUUGCAGACGUGCUGACUGGCAGGAAUCCAAGGAUGAGGAGGAAUCUGGCUUCUUGGGGGUGUUUUCAGGAAAAUGAGGCUGAGUUAGUAACAGAUCUGAAAAAGGAGUGUCAGGGUACUGGAUGGCGUAGCCAAGAUUUCCAAGACUGAUGGCUUUUUGCAGAAAAUAAGAUGAAAAAGAACGAGGCAAAGAAGGAAAACCAUUUUUCCUUGUAAUAAAUUUGAAAUAGUUUUUUCUCUUUUUUCUUCCUUUCUACUGAGAAGUUAAGAUUGGUUAACUGAAACAGACUAAAAAUACCCUUUUGUAGCAUGCUACGGUAUUUUCUCUUUGUCUAAAAUUAGCUGAUUUGAGCUGUGUACUCUGGUUUUCUAAAGCCUUCCAUUAGUUGCUCUAGCUACUUCUCUCUAGUUUUGAGACAGGCUAGUAAGCCAGGACAAGCUGAAUAGGGAAACUGAGACAGAUAGUAAAAGACCAAGCAGUUUACAGCCCUCUAGUAAAUUGUAAAACCCUCUAUUCUGUAACCAAGGACACUUAAGAGUAAAUAGUUUACAUUUCUUCUUAUCCAGGGGGUAAAUAGCUUAAAUCUCCCUAUUCAGGAAGCUAGAUGACAGAAAUCCAAUUAGUGCCAUUUGCCAACCUAACCCAAGGACAAAUGAACUUAAGGGAAUGAAUCUUAUUUUGGCACAUCUGCAUAACACUGAUGAAUAUGCUAUUGAAGUCCUUCUUUCAGACCUCCCCUAAAUUCCCAGCCUUUAAAACCCCUCAACUUGAAAGUCCUUUCCCUCUCCCCCCCACCCUUUUCCCACAGGCAUGCAUCUCAAGCUCUAAGGGACACAGCGAGACUUGCAAUCAGGGAGCAGUGGGCAGCAGCUGCUUGUCCUGGCAAACCCCCUGAAGCUGUCCCCAAGGCCCCCUUUUCUCUGACUUCUAAGUGAGCCAAAGCAGCCCAGUCUAAGCUCAUUGCCCACCUAGUCUCUCCUGUUGCUUCUUCUGUCCUAGGCUCUUCCUUGUUUCACUGUCCCCACCUGUAAUAAACGUCCUCAAAAAAUC